RNAcentral lists this ribosomal RNA (834 nucleotides) under uncultured bacterium. Its description in RNAcentral is "bacterial SSU rRNA". It matches the Rfam family "Bacterial small subunit ribosomal RNA", at positions 68 to 917 of the family's 1533-position model. The record is from RNAcentral.
GAUAUAUGGAGCUUGCUUUAUAUAACUUAGCAGCGAACGGGUGAGUAACACGUAGAUAAUCUAUCCUAUACUGGGGGAUAGCCCGAUGAAAGUUGGAUUAAUACCGCAUAUAGCUAUAUAGUUGCAUGAUUAUGUAGUGAAAGAUUUAUUGGUAUAGGAGGAGUCUGCGGCACAUUAGCUAGUAGGUGAGGUAAAGGCUUACCUAGGCGACGAUGUGUAGCCGGUCUGAGAGGAUGAACGGCCACAAUGGAACUGAGACACGGUCCAUACUCCUACGGGAGGCAGCAGUGGGGAAUAUUGCACAAUGGGGGAAACCCUGAUGCAGCAACGCCGCGUGAGUGAAGAAAGUUUUCGGAUUGUAAAGCUCUGUUAGCAGGGAAGAGGAAGGACGGUACCUGCAGAGGAAGCCACGGCUAACUACGUGCCAGCAGCCGCGGUAAUACGUAGGUGGCAAGCGUUGUUCGGAAUAACUGGGCGUAAAGGAUGCGUAGGCGGUUAAACAAGUUAUAUGUUAAAUAUAUAGGCUUAACCUGUAGAAAGCAUAUAAAACUGUUUAACUAGAGUGCAGGAGAGGUAAGUGGAAUUCCUAGUGUAGCGGUGAAAUGCGUAGAGAUUAGGAAGAACACCAGUGGCGAAGGCGACUUACUGGACUGUAACUGACGCUGAGGCAUGAGAGCAUGGGGAGCAAACAGGAUUAGAUACCCUGGUAGUCCAUGCUGUAAACGAUGGGUACUAGGUGUGGGUUGUGAAUAACAAUUCGUGCCGUCGCAAACGCAAUAAGUACCCCGCCUGAGGAGUACGAUCGCAAGAUUAAAACUCAAAGGAAUUGACGGG